GAUGAACGCUGGCGGCGUGCUUAACACAUGCAAGUCGAACGGAAAGGCCCAAGCUUGCUUGGGUACUCGAGUGGCGAACGGGUGAGUAACACGUGGGUGAUCUGCCCUGCACUUCGGGAUAAGCCUGGGAAACUGGGUCUAAUACCGGAUAGGACCACAUUUUGGAUGGUGUGGUGGAAAGUUUUUCGGUGUGGGAUGAGCUCGCGGCCUAUCAGCUUGUUGGUGGGGUAAUGGCCUACCAAGGCGUCGACGGGUAGCCGGCCUGAGAGGGUGUACGGCCACAUUGGGACUGAGAAACGGCCCAGACUCCUACGGGAGGCAGCAGUGGGGAAUAUUGCACAAUGGGCGCAAGCCUGAUGCAGCGACGCCGCGUGGGGGAUGACGGCCUUCGGGUUGUAAACUCCUUUCGCUAGGGACGAAGCGUUUUUGUGACGGUACCUGGAGAAGAAGCACCGGCUAACUACGUG
Molecule: ribosomal RNA, 467 nt
Filed under: uncultured bacterium
Lineage: Bacteria
Description: partial 16S ribosomal RNA
Rfam family: Bacterial small subunit ribosomal RNA
Source: RNAcentral